This is a long non-coding RNA of Tachyglossus aculeatus (Australian echidna), 1343 nucleotides long. RefSeq lists it as uncharacterized. The record is from RefSeq and is a predicted model, not a curated record. Lineage: Eukaryota; Metazoa; Chordata; Mammalia; Monotremata; Tachyglossidae. The transcript has 3 exons.
CUUCCAGAAAGAGAAUGAGAACUGCUUUGGAGAGUCACUGAUUUCGCCUGAUGCCUUCGGAGAGAGUCCGGUGGAGGCUUUGAGGAAAGGAUGUCCCUUAGUCAAGUUUUUGUUUCAAAUAAUCGCCAAUGUUCCAAAGCUGGUUUUCUGCGCAGGUAGCACAUGAGCAGAGAUGUCAAAGGAUGCUAGAACACCGGAGGAUUGAUUCGUCGGGAACCUUUUCUCCUAAGAAACUUCUUCUGUGGUGAAGUCGAGCCCUGGCCCGAGUCAGAGACAGCUGGAUCCCUUCCCCAGAAAUCAUCUGAGCAGGAGGAGAAAAUGCAAACAGGAUGACUGAGGAAAAGCAGGCGACCCUUGAAAUGAAGCAGCACCCCAAACAGCCAAAAAACCAAUGGAGAAAGACAAAAUCUACGACACUCACACACGCGCCCAAGGGUGCCCAGCCUCACAACCGCACGCCGGGAUUAUGGAAGCACCGAUCCCUCACUUUGAGCAUCGGCGGGGACUUCUCCUUCUGGACAAUUCUCCUCCUUAAAGCAACUCACGCAGUGUUUCUAUAAGCCCCAUCAACCUCCGGGCUCUUACUACUGCCCUGUUGAGUUCAGCUAACAACAAAUUUAGAAAAAAAAAAAAGAGUACAUCCUUCAUGUGGUUGGAAAGAUGGAAAACUCAGCACAUCACAUUGGUCUGGGAACUCAUCCAGCCCUGCACUCAAGGGCUCAGAAACAACCCCAUUUCUCCCCAGCUAUUUUCCUUGCCUCCAAAGGGCCAACCACCUCCCAAAGGCAAAAACAAAAAAGCCCUUUAAAAAGAGAGAGCUGGAGAGAAAGGCUUUCAGUUGCUGCUUUGAAAUCCAAAAGGUGGCAUUUCCUCUCCACUUUGGCCACUGUUAUGGGAUGCAGGCUUACAGCAGGGAAGUUUGGACUACCAUGUAUUAAAAAAAACUGCAACAUUAACAGAGCAUAUACCUUCCCAAAAUACUAAAACACUAACAGAUACAAGUCAAUCAAUGCACAUAUGCUUAAACUAGUGUAAAUUUUUCCCAAACUGGAUUAAACGUUAUUUUGUUCAGCAGACAACGCACGCUGUUCAUCUCCCUUCCUUCAUGCAAACAUGCCCCUUCUGCCACAAAGAGGAGGAACCUUCUUACAGACUGGGGGACCUUCACGCUCCCUCCCAACGACAAAACCAGAAGCGAUCCCCAAAUCACCACUUCCCCCAGAACUUCGUGAACAGUUACCAACCCGGACAGCGGGCUAAUACUUCAGUGGCAGAAGUCGCAGGCUUGGGAGAUGGGUAGGUGUCUUUACGUGCCAUCCCCACCACGGGCCCUGCCACCCGGU